This 1574-nucleotide ribosomal RNA is filed under the name Escherichia coli. Its description in RNAcentral is "partial 23S ribosomal RNA". It matches the Rfam family "Bacterial large subunit ribosomal RNA", at positions 1 to 1618 of the family's 2925-position model. Lineage: Bacteria; Pseudomonadati; Pseudomonadota; Gammaproteobacteria; Enterobacterales; Enterobacteriaceae. The record is from RNAcentral.
GGUUAAGCGACUAAGCGUACACGGUGGAUGCCCUGGCAGUCAGAGGCGAUGAAGGACGUGCUAAUCUGCGAUAAGCGUCGGUAAGGUGAUAUGAACCGUUAUAACCGGCGAUUUCCGAAUGGGGAAACCCAGUGUGAUUCGUCACACUAUCAUUAACUGAAUCCAUAGGUUAAUGAGGCGAACCGGGGGAACUGAAACAUCUAAGUACCCCGAGGAAAAGAAAUCAACCGAGAUUCCCCCAGUAGCGGCGAGCGAACGGGGAGCAGCCCAGAGCCUGAAUCAGUGUGUGUGUUAGUGGAAGCGUCUGGAAAGGCGCGCGAUACAGGGUGACAGCCCCGUACACAAAAAUGCACAUACUGUGAGCUCGAUGAGUAGGGCGGGACACGUGGUAUCCUGUCUGAAUAUGGGGGGACCAUCCUCCAAGGCUAAAUACUCCUGACUGACCGAUAGUGAACCAGUACCGUGAGGGAAAGGCGAAAAGAACCCCGGCGAGGGGAGUGAAAAAGAACCUGAAACCGUGUACGUACAAGCAGUGGGAGCACGCUUAGGCGUGUGACUGCGUACCUUUUGUAUAAUGGGUCAGCGACUUAUAUUCUGUAGCAAGGUUAACCGAAUAGGGGAGCCGAAGGGAAACCGAGUCUUAACUGGGCGUUAAGUUGCAGGGUAUAGACCCGAAACCCGGUGAUCUAGCCAUGGGCAGGUUGAAGGUUGGGUAACACUAACUGGAGGACCGAACCGACUAAUGUUGAAAAAUUAGCGGAUGACUUGUGGCUGGGGGUGAAAGGCCAAUCAAACCGGGAGAUAGCUGGUUCUCCCCGAAAGCUAUUUAGGUAGCGCCUCGUGAAUUCAUCUCCGGGGGUAGAGCACUGUUUCGGCAAGGGGGUCAUCCCGACUUACCAACCCGAUGCAAACUGCGAAUACCGGAGAAUGUUAUCACGGGAGACACACGGCGGGUGCUAACGUCCGUCGUGAAGAGGGAAACAACCCAGACCGCCAGCUAAGGUCCCAAAGUCAUGGUUAAGUGGGAAACGAUGUGGGAAGGCCCAGACAGCCAGGAUGUUGGCUUAGAAGCAGCCAUCAUUUAAAGAAAGCGUAAUAGCUCACUGGUCGAGUCGGCCUGCGCGGAAGAUGUAACGGGGCUAAACCAUGCACCGAAGCUGCGGCAGCGACGCUUAUGCGUUGUUGGGUAGGGGAGCGUUCUGUAAGCCUGUGAAGGUGUGCUGUGAGGCAUGCUGGAGGUAUCAGAAGUGCGAAUGCUGACAUAAGUAACGAUAAAGCGGGUGAAAAGCCCGCUCGCCGGAAGACCAAGGGUUCCUGUCCAACGUUAAUCGGGGCAGGGUGAGUCGACCCCUAAGGCGAGGCCGAAAGGCGUAGUCGAUGGGAAACAGGUUAAUAUUCCUGUACUUGGUGUUACUGCGAAGGGGGGACGGAGAAGGCUAUGUUGGCCGGGCGACGGUUGUCCCGGUUUAAGCGUGUAGGCUGGUUUUCCAGGCAAAUCCGGAAAAUCAAGGCUGAGGCGUGAUGACGAGGCACUACGGUGCUGAAGCAACAAAUGCCCUGCUUCCAGGAAAAGC